AGGGGAGUGAAAAAGAACCUGAAACCGUGUACGUACAAGCAGUGGGAGCCCCACCACCAAAGCAUUCUCUGGUGUUGAAGGCCCUGCAAAGCAGCAUCGCGGUGGCGGAGCGUCGUUUGCGACGCCCAACACACAAAACAAGCGGUGAAUGCUUUGGGGUGGGGUGACUGCGUACCUUUUGUAUAAUGGGUCAGCGACUUAUAUUCUGUAGCAAGGUUAACCGAAUAGGGGAGCCGGAGGGAAACCGAGUCUUAAUUGGGCGUUAAGUUGCAG
RNAcentral lists this ribosomal RNA (273 nucleotides) under Salmonella enterica subsp. enterica. RNAcentral's name for it is "partial 23S ribosomal RNA". It matches the Rfam family "Bacterial large subunit ribosomal RNA", at positions 532 to 705 of the family's 2925-position model. Lineage: Bacteria; Pseudomonadati; Pseudomonadota; Gammaproteobacteria; Enterobacterales; Enterobacteriaceae. The record is from RNAcentral. RNAcentral also lists the same sequence under 1 other name.